GGGUCCAAGUAAGACAGGUCCGGGUCCAGGAAGGUCUAUAAAAGGGAGAUGGAGAAAGACGUCAGAGAAACACUCAGGAACACAGGGAGCUCAACAAGAGACUAAGCUGGGCUACACUAACCCUAGUGAGUACAACGCUCCAGCGAGGAACACCACUCCAACCAGGCCUUAAGUAUGGUGAUGAGGCGUGAUGUGCGUGUGCGUGAAGAUCAGUUGACCACUGCAAGGCAGGCACCGCACCCCAGGACAGCCACUUGUGGAUCAUGAAACCUGUGGUGUGAAACUGCCAUCAGGUCCUACAAGUCCUGCAUUUAAAAUAAUGCCCCACAUUUGAGUUAUCAGCAAGCGUAGCCUCAAGCUGCAGCUGGAGCGAGCAGCAGAAGUCUGCUACAAACAAUCAGACGUUGGUGCUGAUUCCUGGAAGACACCACAGACAAGAUGACCAGAGAGCCUGCACUUCAAAGCAGGGGAUGAAGUGUUUUACAUACGAACUAGCAGAGGACUCAUAAAACCACAGCACCCUGCAGUGCGUUACUCAGACUGCUCUGCUCGUUUACUUCAUAAGGCAGAGCUGCCUGACUGCAUAUGCUGAUUAAUGCCCCACGACGACUCUGC
This is a long non-coding RNA of Pundamilia nyererei, 615 nucleotides long. RefSeq lists it as uncharacterized. Lineage: Eukaryota; Metazoa; Chordata; Actinopteri; Cichliformes; Cichlidae. The record is from RefSeq and is a predicted model, not a curated record. The transcript has 3 exons.